This 345-nucleotide unclassified non-coding RNA is filed under the name soil metagenome. RNAcentral's name for it is "partial contains 5.8S ribosomal RNA, internal transcribed spacer 2, and large subunit ribosomal RNA". The stretch from base 1 to 119 matches the Rfam family "5.8S ribosomal RNA", at positions 35 to 154 of the family's 154-position model. The record is from RNAcentral.
GAUGAAGAACGCAGCGAAAUGCGAUACGUAAUGUGAAUUGCAAAUUCAGUGAAUCAUCGAGUCUUUGAACGCACAUUGCGCCCCCUGGUAUUCCGGGGGGCAUGCCUGUCCGAGCGUCAUUGCUGCCCUCAAGCACGGCUUGUGUGUUGGGCCCCGUCCUCCGAUUCCGGGGGACGGGUCCGAAAGGCAGCGGCGGCACCGCGUCCGGUCCUCGAGCGUAUGGGGCUUUGUCACCCGCUCUGUAGGCCCGGCCGGCGCUUACCGAUCAACCCAAAUUUUUAUCCAGGUUGACCUCGGAUCAGGUAGGGAUACCCGCUGAACUUAAGCAUAUCAAUAAGCGGAGGA